This 2234-nucleotide long non-coding RNA is filed under the name Anser cygnoides (Swan goose). Its description in RNAcentral is "lncRNA (ENSACDG00005012832.1)". The record is from RNAcentral. Lineage: Eukaryota; Metazoa; Chordata; Aves; Anseriformes; Anatidae.
AUGAUGUUGCAAGGCAAGGCUUUAAAGUCCUGUUGGGAAACACGGGUAGCUGGGGCUGUGGGUGGUGGGGAGAGGAACAACCUUCAUCCAGUGAUGCUUGAAAGCAAAGGAGCCCCCAGCCCAGCCUGGGCAGGCAGAGCUCAGCGGGAGAGGUCGCUCCUGGAGCCAAGGUGGAUCCAGCCCUUGCUGGAGGACGGGGACAGAGAGAGGCUGAGAAGGUCUCGCAGAGGAGACUCAAGCUGGGUAGGAUGCCCCAAAAGGCAGGGUGUGGAGUUGUGGGGUACAGAUGGGUGUCGGUGCACAGCUGGGUGAUGGUGCACAGGUUGGUGUUGGUGCACGGGUUGGUGCCAGUGCACAGCCCGAUGAUGGUGCACAGCUGGGUGUCAGUGCAGAGCCGGGUGUUGGUGCACAGGUUGGUGUUGGUGCAGGGGUUGGUGUCAGUGCACAGCCCGGUGAUGGUGCACAGCCCACCGCAUCCUUUGCUACCCCGCCUGGCAGGAGGUGACGCUGAUGCUGCCCUCGUCACCGCCCCCAGGGACGGUGCCUGGGUGGGUGUCCCCAGGCAGAGGCUGGCCCUGGGGCCGGCAGCGGGGCCAGGUGAGGUUCCCAGUCCCCACCUGCUGGGCCCAGGCUGAGCCUCCCCCUCCUGGCUCCUGCUCUGCUUUCAGCUCAGCUCGAAAACAACCCCUUUGUUUUCUUUAGUUCCUUUCCUAAUUUAGACAGCCCCAAGGCCCCGCGGGCAGAUAAAGGCAAGUUUAUUCCUUCCCCCUGUUUAUGGCUCUGCUGGAACACGCUGCUCCUGCAAAUAUUACAUCAAGGGGACGAGGAGAAGGCUCGGCUUCGCCAGCACGGCCUCCCUCUCACCCAGAUCCGCGCAUCGCCGCUCACCGCCCCGACCCCAGCGAGGGACCCGGCCGGGCUCCCGCUGCGCUCGGCUUGGUGGCAGCGGCUCUCCGCCUGCCAGCCCCUGUGCCACUGGUGCCCUCGGCUCCUUGUGCCCCGCGUGGGACACACGUCCCUGCCGCUUCCUCGGCCACGUUGGCAGCGCUCGGUUCCAUCCCUGCCUGAGAGCAGCCCCUGGGGGGGUGUGGGGGGGGUGUCCCAGCAGAGCCCCCAGUGCCAGGCGUGGGCAUGGGGGUGUCCCCGCCACCGCGCCGGCAGCGUGCUGCCGCCCAGGCUGUCGCAACGAGCCACGAGGCUGGGAGCUGUGUUUGCUUUGCUGGAACAACGUGUCACCGCCGGCCGAGCCUCGGUUGCAUCAUCCCGACGGGGACGGGAGAGCGGUGCCCAGCCUCCGUCCACGAGGCCGGGAGAUGGGGUGCAGGAGCCUCCCCCCCCCCCCCCCCCCCNNNNNNNNNNNNNNNNNNNNNCCCCACACACACCCCCCGGCCAUAAAGCCCUGCAGGAGAUUGCGUCGGGGGUUUCAGCACUUCCCAGGGCAGCGGGGUGAUGAGCCGCCACCCCUGGGCUGCCCCAGUCUGGGCUUGAAAUCACUGGCAGCAAAAGCUCCUGACCCCAGGCCAGCCUCACCACCGCCUCCUGCAGGAGGAUGGAUCCCUGGGAGCACAGGUGCUGGGGUGACUUUGGGGAUCUCCAUCAGCAACGUGGGCCACCCUAGCGUGAGAGGACAUCACGUUCCCCCGAAAUCAGCCUGGAGGCUGGGAGCAAGCUCGUCCCAGAGGGUCAGGGACACCCCGAGAGGUGCUGGACCCUGAGGGAGAGGUGGUGUGAGGACAGCAAAGGAAAUCAGAGAUACGGGCGGGAAAUAACAAACGUGAGUCAGAAGAGAAGCACGCACACAAGGGCAGCUUGGGGAAGCUAAUCUGCAAGAAGAUAACGCUGCCGGGGUGGGGGAGAUCAGACAUGAGCUCGUCGGAAGGGAGAACCAAGGCUUUCAAAACCCCAGCGCCCAUCAUGGGGCUGUGCAUCAUGCCUGGCUGCGUCACCCGUGGGUGCUGGGGGCAGCGUGGGCUGGAGCCGUGCUCGGCACCCGGCCUUGGAUGCUGUGGACAGCACGUGCGUGUCGGGGCACGCCAGCAGCCUCCGAAGGUUUCCAAAGCCCCUGAAAUCCCACCCCGGGUGCUGAUCCCCCUGCAGACAGGGCUAGCCCCCGCACAGCCAGCCUGCUUUUAGUCUGGUGGAGAUUAAGCUCUCUGGGGGCCUAAUGGCAAUUCUUUUGGCACGCGUUCAGCAAGCCUUAAUCCAUCUUAUCUCCUCUCUGAAAGGAUGAACUC